CCCCCCAGGCCUCUCUACGAUGCUCAACACCGGGGGC
Molecule: non-coding RNA, 37 nt
Filed under: unclassified sequences
Description: abiF RNA
Rfam family: abiF RNA
Source: Rfam by way of RNAcentral